ACCAGGCCUUGACAUGCAGAGAACUUUCCAGAGAUGGAUUGGUGCCUUCGGGAACUCUGACACAGGUGCUGCAUGGCUGUCGUCAGCUCGUGUCGUGAGACUGUUGGGUUAAGUCCCGUAACGAGCGCAACCCUUGUCCUUAGUUACCAGCACGUUAUGGUGGGCACUCUAAGGAGACUGCCGGUGACAAACCGGAGGAAGGUGGGGAUGACGUCAAGUCAUCAUGGCCCUUACGGCCUGGGCUACACACGUGCUACAAUGGUCGGUACAAAGGGUUGCCAAGCCGCGAGGUGGAGCUAAUCCCAUAAAACCGAUCGUAGUCCGGAUCGCAGUCUGCAACUCGACUGCGUGAAGUCGGAAUCGCUAGUAAUCGUGAAUCAGAAUGUCACGGUGAAUACGUUCCCGGGCCUU
Molecule: ribosomal RNA, 411 nt
Filed under: uncultured Pseudomonas sp.
Lineage: Bacteria; Pseudomonadati; Pseudomonadota; Gammaproteobacteria; Pseudomonadales; Pseudomonadaceae
Description: bacterial SSU rRNA
Rfam family: Bacterial small subunit ribosomal RNA
Source: RNAcentral